Molecule: ribosomal RNA, 530 nt
Filed under: uncultured bacterium
Lineage: Bacteria
Description: bacterial SSU rRNA
Rfam family: Bacterial small subunit ribosomal RNA
Source: RNAcentral
UGGGGAAUCUUGGACAAUGGGGGCAACCCUGAUCCAGCCAUGCCGCGUGAGUGAUGAAGGCCUUAGGGUCGUAAAGCUCUUUCGCCUGUGAAGAUAAUGACGGUAGCAGGUAAAGAAACCCCGGCUAACUCCGUGCCAGCAGCCGCGGUAAUACGGAGGGGGUUAGCGUUGUUCGGAAUUACUGGGCGUAAAGCGCACGUAGGCGGACCAGAAAGUUGGGGGUGAAAUCCCGGGGGCUCAACCCCGGAACUGCCUCCAAAACUAUUGGUCUAGAGUUCGAGAGAGGUGAGUGGAAUUCCAAGUGUAGAGGUGAAAUUCGUAGAUAUUUGGAGGAACACCAGUGGCGAAGGCGGCUCACUGGCUCGAUACUGACGCUGAGGUGCGAAAGUGUGGGGAGCAAACAGGAUUAGAUACCCCUGGUAGUCCACACCGUAAAACGAUGAAUGCCAGUCGUCGGGUAGCAUGCUAUUCGGUGACACACCUAACGGAUUAAGCAUUCCGGCCUGGGGAGUACGGUCGCAAGAUUAAAA